UACGUAGGGUGCAAGCGUUGUCCGGAAUUAUUGGGCGUAAAGAGCUCGUAGGCGGUUCGUCGCGUCGGCUGUGAAAACCCGGAGCUCAACUCCGGGCCUGCAGUCGAUACGGGCGGACUUGAGUGUUGCAGGGGAGACUGGAAUUCCUGGUGUAGCGGUGAAAUGCGCAGAUAUCAGGAGGAACACCAAUAGCGAAGGCAGCUCGCUGGGACGUAACUGACACUGAGGCGCGAAAGCGUGGGGAGCGAACAGG
RNAcentral lists this ribosomal RNA (253 nucleotides) under uncultured bacterium. RNAcentral's name for it is "partial 16S ribosomal RNA". It matches the Rfam family "Bacterial small subunit ribosomal RNA", at positions 524 to 776 of the family's 1533-position model. The record is from RNAcentral.